This 76-nucleotide transfer RNA is filed under the name Chlamydiota bacterium. RNAcentral describes it as "Chlamydiae bacterium tRNA-Lys". It matches the Rfam family "tRNA". Rfam says of the family: Transfer RNA (tRNA) molecules are approximately 80 nucleotides in length. Their secondary structure includes four short double-helical elements and three loops (D, anti-codon, and T loops). Further hydrogen bonds mediate the characteristic L-shaped molecular structure. tRNAs have two regions of fundamental functional importance: the anti-codon, which is responsible for specific mRNA codon recognition, and the 3' end, to which the tRNAs corresponding amino acid is attached (by aminoacyl-tRNA synthetases). tRNAs cope with the degeneracy of the genetic code in two manners: having more than one tRNA (with a specific anti-codon) for a particular amino acid; and 'wobble' base-pairing, i.e. permitting non-standard base-pairing at the 3rd anti-codon position. The record is from RNAcentral. Lineage: Bacteria; Pseudomonadati; Chlamydiota.
UGAGUCUUUAGCUCAGUCGGUAGAGCAUCUCCCUUUUAAGGAGAGGGUCGUUGGUUCGAGCCCAACAAGACUCAUC